CCCCUCUCAGGAUCGCACCUGGAGAGUUUCCAGUACUUUACCAAUCUUGGCUAUGGGAGGGAGAAUCAAGUAGAGGCAUACCAGUUCCAUUCCUAGCUUGGGCAGUGGCUAGCAAGUGGAAGGCAAUCUGCUACAAGU
Molecule: small nucleolar RNA, 138 nt
Filed under: Ornithorhynchus anatinus (platypus)
Lineage: Eukaryota; Metazoa; Chordata; Mammalia; Monotremata; Ornithorhynchidae
Source: RNAcentral